UACGUAGGGCGCAAGCGUUAUCCGGAAUUAUUGGGCGUAAAGAGCUCGUAGGCGGCUUGUCGCGUCGACUGUGAAAACCCGUGGCUCAACCAUGUGGUCUGCAGUCGAUACGGGCAGGCUAGAAUUCGGUAGGGGAGACUGGAAUUCCUGGUGUAGCGGUGAAAUGCGCAGAUAUCAGGAGGAACACCGGUGGCGAAGGCGGGUCUCUGGGCCGAUAUUGACGCUGAGGAGCGAAAGCGUGGGGAGCGAACAGG
RNAcentral lists this ribosomal RNA (254 nucleotides) under uncultured bacterium. RNAcentral describes it as "partial 16S ribosomal RNA". It matches the Rfam family "Bacterial small subunit ribosomal RNA", at positions 524 to 776 of the family's 1533-position model. The record is from RNAcentral.